Monodelphis domestica (gray short-tailed opossum) is the source of this 4768-nucleotide long non-coding RNA. The record is from Ensembl. Lineage: Eukaryota; Metazoa; Chordata; Mammalia; Didelphimorphia; Didelphidae.
CUUUGAUUACACUGGAUUUCUUGGGGGGUAAGGGCCUUUCCAUUUCCAGAGAAGCUGAAGCAUGUCCUUUGUUUCCUUUGUCCCCCUUUGCUCUUUGUUCUCUCCUGUCUUCUCCUAUACAUUGAUGUGGAAAGAAAUUGCUUCAUUGAAAAGAAACUGUCUUUCCUUGACAGAUGUUUCAUUGUACUUACACUGUAUUUCUUGGGCUUCAAGGACCUUUUCAUUUCCAGAGAAGAAGCAUGUCCUUUGUUUCCUUUGUCCCUUCUCUUUGUUUUCUCCAGGCUUUUUCUCCAAUCUUUAGAUGUACAAAGAAAUUCCUUCCUUUUCAAAGAAUGGGUCUUUCCUUAAGUCUUAGUCUAUCAUUUUGAUUACACUGGAUUUCUUGGGGUGCAAUGGCCUUUCCAUUUUCAGAGAAAAAGCAUGUCCUUUGUUUCCUUUCCCCCUCAGCUCUUUGUUCUCUUCUCACUUAUUCUCCUAUGCAUAUAUGUAUAAAGGAAUAGCUAUUUGUGUAGAGGGAAUUUCAUCCCCUCCUCAUGCUGCAUUGCAGACAUCAUUCAUCCCAAUUUUAAAUGGCAGGGAUUCCUCCAUGGACAUUAAUAAAGGGGAGUGGCUUGAGCCUAAAGGGGUCUUUUUCUUCUUUGUUCCCUCACCACUUCCUUGAGCAGGCUGGUGAAGGAUGGAUGGAGAUUCCUACAGGAUGGGCUACACCUUCUCAGACUGAGAGGAGGAAAGUAAAAGUCAGGAAGACUGAUCUGUGUAUCAGGCAAAUAUGUGCAGUGUUUCAUGCCAGUGGACCUCUCACCUCGUCGACAAGGGAGGACAUACAAAGGCAGCUCAUGGCUAUGAGACUGCGAAUGAAGACUAAAGUCUUUUUGGUGGGAGGCAGACACUCUGAGAACAUCGCUGCCAACACCAGCCUUGCUUUCAGAGGCAAAGACAAGACAAAACAGACAAGACAAGACAAGACAACCUGGGCUAGAUACUGCCUCACGACAACAUAGGGAAACCAUCUCUUUACAUUCAGGACACUUAGAUAACCCGCUGGGGGAGAACAUGCAAUCUAUGAACAUCAUAAGUUUCCUUUAUGAAAAAACAUUGCCUCCCACUUCAAAGACGAAACAUUUGGGACUGGCAACAGUCUCUGAGAACAUUCCAGUUAUUAUAGUCUGUUCUGGGGAGCGCUUCUAGACUCAGAGCACUCUGUGGAUGAGAUCCUUGUGGCUGGAGACAAUGCUCUGGAAACAAUGCUUUGCUAGAUUAUCCACGAGAAAAAAAUUUCAAUACUCUGACUUUCAGCCAACAAGACUUCAACACAGGAGACAAGAGUCUCUGAAAACAUUCCAGUUGCAAGCCUCUCUCUGUGGAUACACUGAGUCUCCAAGCGCUUUGAGGACAAGACUGGGACUGGAGACACUCUCUCUGGGAACACUGCGCUUACUUACUACCUGCUUUCUCUCUGGGGAAACACAUCGAGUCUCAGAAGGCAUCGAGGAAAAGACAAGGGUUGAAGUCGCUUUCUGAAAACUUUGUAUUUACAAUAGGCUGGCUGUACAUGCAGCUAGUCUGACAACGCUCGGUGAAUGAGCUACUUACAGUUGGAGAUACACACUCUGACAACAUGCAAAAUCGAGACUCAAGAGAAGCAACCAAAGGUAAAUAUCAAUGGGAAGUCAUGGGGUUCCUUCCACUGAGCCUGGUGCUCUGGGUCCUCCCUCUCUCCCAGUAGCCACUCUUCCUCUCCCCCCCCCCCCGGAAAAAAAUCCCUUCAAAUGAAGGAAGAAAAACUGCAUCUCACCACCACCACCACCACCACCACUACAGCAGCCACCACCUCUUAGGCCACAACCAUGACCUCCAUGGGUAUCACCUUAUAAGGAUUUGCCUUGAAAUCUCAGCUAGGGGAAGAGGAAACCUUUGGACACUCUGCCCACCUCCUCAGCCAUUUCUGUCUUCAGUACAUCCUUGCUCAGGUACUGUAUAUUUGUCCGUGGUCCCUGCUUGUUGCCUGUCCUCUCCUCUCUGUGUCCCUUUUUGGCCUUCAAGUGUCUGCCUACUCUUAGUGCUUUUGGGUAAUUCCAGCCAGGCCCCCAUAUGGCUAUCCCCUGGUAUCCACUACUUUCUUGCCACAUUUUCCCACUUCUUUGUCAUCAUUCCCUCUCAUUUUUGAACCAGGUGCCUAAUCCCUGCUUGCAUCAACAGAGGCCUCCUUCUGACCUUCCUCUUUCCCUUCUUCCAAGUCCCUGAGCAAAUGCCCAAUAUGUGCAUAAAUUCUCAUUCUGUCCAAAUUGAUUCAUAUAGAGCUUUGCACAACUGUCUACUUAGAGAUAGCCAGAACUCUGAGUCUACCUUUUUCUGCAUUUGAUGUGGUCCCCUCACUCACACACACACUCACACACACACACACACACACACACACACACACACACACACACACACACUGACCCAUCUGGACAUACCCUUCCUUUGACCCAGAGAUACCACUCCUAGCAAUUUCUUUUGGACCUUGAAGAGACAUGGAUCAAAGAUAUGUAGUAUAGAAAUCCUGGUAGACCUUGGGCAAUUUCCCAUGAGCCCUUUUGAAAUUCACUAUCAAUUAUGUUCCUGAUUGGAGAAAGGAAAUGGCAUCCCGCAUCUUGGUUUCAUGAUGCUAUAAACAUAACAAAGCAGUUAUAGGUUGAAUGGGGCUUCCUGGGAAGGGAUUCUACUGGCCUCAGGUUUUCUCAAGCAGCUUUCUUUAUGCUCUUGGAUGAUGAAACUAGAUACAUGAUUUUCUGUGAUGACAAGUGACCAUUGUGAGGCUGACUGAUGCUGACUGGAGGAACCACACUGUGCUUGUGCUACCAUGUCCCCAUAGAGUCCCUCUCAGGCCCAAGUGAGUGUGACUAGUUCAGGUGGUUUCCUGAGAGGCUGGCUGGUGGAGCUUUCCAUUGUCUGUAGUACUGAAGUGAUGGUUUUGCAAUAUUACAGAUCAAUUCAGGUGUUGUAUUGGCCAUUUUGGCCAAAAAUCAAUUGGGGACAGGGCCUUCUCACAUUUGAGGGAUAGUAGGCAAUAGAGAAAAAUGGCAGGAAUCUAAUUCAGGUCAACAAGUACCUGUUGAAUUCUCAAGAGGUGAAAUUGCCUAAGUUUUGGAAAUUGCUUUUCUCUUCACAUGGAAGAAACAUACUUUCUCCUCCUCCUUCUAGUCUGAGAAGUUCUGCAGAGAUGAAGGUCCAUUAGUGAGAUGAGAGUUCAAGAGGGUCACAUUGGCAGAAGAAUAGAGGCCAUGGUACACUGGAAAGAACAGUUGCAUAUAGAGUUGGAAUUUCCAGAUUGGAGUCCUAGUUAUACUGAUGUUUCCAAGUAUCUACCUCAAACUUCCUUGCAUAUCUCCUUUGAGAAUACUCCUGGCUUCCCUAUUUUCUUUUUGUCCACUCACUUUGCGCUUCCCUGAUUUGUCAUAUUUGCCCAAAUCUUCUGUUUCCUUCAUAGCUAAGCCUAGACUUUUUUUUGCAAUUCUUUGCUGAAAAUUUUAUUCAGUGAGCUUCAUGAACCUUUUGCCUGGUACAUGGCCUAUACUUGUGGUUGCCUGCCCAUUUCCUUAGUUUGCACUGCUUGGUGGUCCUCUAACAAGGCUGGCUCUUUGGAAUGCAAUUGGAAAAGCAAAUUCAUUGGCUUUACCAGCUUCAUGGGGAAGUUGUGAUUUGAGGCACUGCCUAGGGGGUGAAGCCUAGCCCCUCACUUCUGUAGUCCCUGAAUAUAAUGUGGUAUGAUGAAUCACUUAAGGUCUCUCCCUCUAGGUAAGUCCCAUCACAGUCUAAAUUGCAGGCAGAGAAUAUGGAGUGGAGGCAUUUUGUUUCAAUGGGAAUUUCCUCCACCCCAGCCAUGUGCAGUCCCCAUGGCAACAGCAGUGUGGUCCAGAUGCCUCUUCCCAGCCUUCAAGGGCUCUUGGCUAGAUGGCUGGGGCCCCUAAGAUGCACUGGGUUUCCUUGGUGAUGCUCUUGGUGGUCAGGGAAGCAUAGUGAAGCCUGGGAGGAGCCCCAAUCCCCAAGUCCUUUCUCAUUUGGGGAGCUGCCCAACAACAAGUGCCUCUAGCUUACUCUGGUCUAGGCCUGAUGGUGGGGGGGCAGAGGGACUUGCUGGAAUGCUUCCCUGUCCCUCCCCUGCCCUUCCUGAACUUUGUCUCUUCAUGCCUGGAGCAAGGAGGCUGGGAGACCCUCCUUCUCUAGAUACCCACCCCACCCCCAUUCCUCUUGGGCUCUUGGUCAGGAAUGCAAGUCCCAUUCAUGAGCUUCUGGUUUGCAGUUACAGCUGCUCCUGCCAGACUCUUCCCUUUUGUGGACCCUGAAGGCUCCCUGUCUCUCCCUCCCCCCCUUCUGCUUUUGCAGAAAGGGACCUAAGCCACCAUCCCAAGCUGAGCUCAGCCUCUGUGCCUUGCUAUUGGUCCUCAGGACCCUAGUCUUUGUCAGUCACAUCUCCAGGGAGAAGAUAUUCUGCCUCUCCCCCAUGCCAGGCAGGGUGAUGGGGGCUGAGAGAAUGGCACAGCAUCCAGAGCCCCCUCCUUUUGUCCUGUCUCUUCCAGUUAUAGAGCAGCCCAGCCCAUCUUCUGCAGUGAUGUCAUCAUGCCCACCCUCCUCCAACCCUGUACCUUGGUCUGUUUUCUUUGUUAUCUAUGUCACUGCUCUCUUUGGAUUUAUCCAAAUAUUAUUUUAUUUGUUUGCAAACCUAAUAUUUUCCAUUUCUUAACUGCUCUAUUUUUAAUAAAUAUUAGUUGGGGGGGGGGGAGCUGCA